CUAAAUACUACCCAGUGACCGAUAGCGUAUAGUACUGUGAAGGAAAGGUGAAAAGCACCCCGGGAGGGGAGUGAAAAAGAACCUGAAACCCUGUGCCUACAAGCACCUAGAGCACGUCAAUGUGUGAUAGGGUACUUUUUGUAGAACGGUCCGGCGAGCGAUUGUAUGCAGCAAGGUUAAGGACUUAAGGUCUGGAGCCGAAGCGAAAGCGAGUUUGAAAAGGGCGUUAAGUUGCAUACAAUGGGCCCGAAACCGGGUGACCUACCCAUGGUCAGGUUGAAGUGGAAGUAAAAUUCCAUGGAGGACCGAACCGACCUCCGUUGAAAAGGCGGCGGAUGAACUGUGGGUAGCGGAGAAAUUCCAAUCGAACCCGGAGAUAGCUGGUUCUCCCCGAAAUAGUUUUAGGACUAGCCUCAAGUUAGAUACCUGGAGGUAAAGCACUGAAUAGCCUAGCGGCCGAGAGGUUAGCGAAGCUUAUCAAACUCAGAAUGCCAGAGUAUUGAUGCUUGGGAGUCAGACAGUGUCAGAUAAAUGUCAUUGUCAAAAGGGAAACAGCCCAGAUCUACAGCUAAGGUCCCAAAGUCAGGUUAAGUGGAAAACGAUGUGAAGAUACGUAGACAACCAGGAUGUUGGCUCAGAAGCAGCCACACAUUCAAAGAGUGCGUAAUAGCUCACUGGUCGAGCGUCUUUGCGCGGAGAAUUUAACGGGGCUAAACCUGACACCGAAGCUUAGGCAAUACAGUAAUGUAUUGGGUAGGGGAGCGUUGUAUACGCGGUGAAACAGUAGCGCAAGCGGCUGUGGAGUGUAUAGAAGUGAGAAUGCCGGAAUGAGUAGCGCGAAUGCAGUGAGAAUCUGCAUGGCCGAAAGCCUCAGGUUUCUGGAGGAAGGUUCGUCCGCUCCAGGUUAGUCGGGAGCUAAGGUGAGGCCUAACGGCGUAGCCGAUGCACAGACGGUAGAGAUUCCGUCACCACCAAAAGAGUUAAACACAGGGACACAUUUGAAGUCUCGGAGCCGGGUGUUGGUUCCGGUAGCGAUCGAGGGAAAUUAGUACCGAAGUCCGGGAUGGAAGAUGGCGAGAAAAGCUGUGUGUAUUUCUGCGGUGCCCGUACCGCAAACCGACACAGGUAGGUAGGAAGAAGAUUCUAAGGCCAACGGGAGAAGGGUUGUUAAGGAACUCGGCAAAUUGACCCCGUAACUUCGGGAGAAGGGGUGCUCCAGAGAUGGAGCCGCAGAGAAUCGGCCCAAGCAACUGUUUACCAAAAACACAGGUUUGUGCUAAAUCGAAAGAUGACGUAUACGAGCUGACGCCUGCCCGGUGCUGGAAGGUUAAGAGGAGAUGUGCAAGCAUUGAAUCGAAGCCCCAGUGAACGGCGGCCGUAACUAUAACGGUCCUAAGGUAGCGAAAUUCCUUGUCAGGUAAGUUCUGACCCGCAUGAAAGGCGUAAUGAUUUGGGCACUGUCUCAACAGCCCGCCCGGCGAAAUUGUAGUACCGGUGAAGAUGCCGGUUACCCGCGACAAGACGGAAAGACCCCAUGGAGCUUUACUGUAGCCUAAUAUUGGGUUUCGAUGUUGCAUGCACAGGAUAGAUGGGACACAGGGAAACAAGUGCUUUGGCAUUUGUGGAGUGGCCGUUGGGAUACCAUCCUUGCGAUAUUGGAAUUCUAACCUGCGCCUUUGAAUCAAGGCGGGGGACAUUGUUAGGUGGGCAGUUUGACUGGGGCGGUCGCCUCCUAAAGAGUAACGGAGGCGUUCAAAGGUUCGCUCAGCUUGAACGGAAAUCAAGCAAAAGAGUGCAAACGCAGAAGCGAGCCUAACUGCGAGACUGACGGGUCGAGCAGUAACGAAAGUUGGAGUUAGUGAUCCGGUGGUAUGUGAGUGGAAAUGCCAUCGCUCAACGGAUAAAAGCUACCCUGGGGAUAACAGGCUGAUCUCCCCCAAGAGUCCACAUCGACGGGGAGGUUUGGCACCUCGAUGUCGGCUCAUCGCAUCCUGGGGCUGUAUUCGGUCCCAAGGGUUUGGCUGUUCGCCAAUUAAAGCGGUACGCGAGCUGGGUUCAGAACGUCGUGAGACAGUUCGGUCCCUAUCUGUCGUGGGCGCAGGAUAUUUGAUGGGAGCUGUUCCUAGUACGAGAGGACCGGAGCGGACGUACCUCUGGCGCACCAGUUGUUCUGCCAAGGGCAUAGCUGGGCAACUAUGUACGGAUCGGAUAAACGCUGAAAGCAUCUAAGCGUGAAGCCGACCCAAAGAUAAGAUAUCCCAUUGUUUCAAACAAGUAAGACCCCUUGAAGACUACAAGGUUGAUAGGCACGAUGUGUAAGUGGAGUGAUCCAUUCAGCAAGCGUGUACUAAUAGGUCGAGGGCUUGACCAC
RNAcentral lists this ribosomal RNA (2371 nucleotides) under human gut metagenome. Its description in RNAcentral is "bacterial LSU rRNA". It matches the Rfam family "Bacterial large subunit ribosomal RNA", at positions 466 to 2925 of the family's 2925-position model. The record is from RNAcentral.